CGGCGGACGGGUGAGUAACACGUGGGUAACCUACCUAUAAGACUGGGACAACUUCGGGAAACCGGAGCUAAUACCGGAUAAGAUAUCGAACCGCAUGGUUCGAUAGUGAAAGANGGUUUUGCUAUCACUUAUAGAUGGACCCGCGCCGUAUUAGCUAGUUGGUGAGGUAACGGCUCACCAAGGCAACGAUACGUAGCCGACCUGAGAGGGUGAUCGGCCACACUGGAACUGAGACACGGUCCAGACUCCUACGGGAGGCAGCAGAU
RNAcentral lists this ribosomal RNA (266 nucleotides) under uncultured Staphylococcus sp. RNAcentral describes it as "partial 16S ribosomal RNA". It matches the Rfam family "Bacterial small subunit ribosomal RNA", at positions 96 to 354 of the family's 1533-position model. Lineage: Bacteria; Bacillati; Bacillota; Bacilli; Caryophanales; Staphylococcaceae. The record is from RNAcentral.